CCUACGGGGUGCUGCAGUGGGGGAUAUUGCACAAUGGGGGAAACCCUGAUGCAGCGACGCCGCGUGGGUGAAGAAGGGCCUCGGCGCGUAAAGCCCUGUCAGCAGGGAAGAAAAUGACGGUACCUGACGAAGAAGCCCCGGCUAACUACGUGCCAGCAGCCGCGGUAAUACGUAGGGGGCAAGCGUUAUCCGGAUUGACGGGGUGUAAAGGGGGCGCAGACGGCGAAGCAAGCCAGGGGUGAAAGCCCGGGGCCCAACCGCGGGACGGCUCUUGGAACGGCGUGGUUAGGGUGCAGGAGGGGCAGCCGGAAUUCGUGUGGUGGCGGUGAAAGGCGUGGAUAUCAGGAGGAACACCGGUGGCGAAGGCGGCCUGCUGGACUGCAACUGACGUUGAGGCCCGAAAGCGUGGGAGCAAACAGGAUUAGAUACCCGUGUAGUC
Molecule: ribosomal RNA, 439 nt
Filed under: uncultured bacterium
Lineage: Bacteria
Description: partial 16S ribosomal RNA
Rfam family: Bacterial small subunit ribosomal RNA
Source: RNAcentral